GAUGAACGCUGGCGGCGUGCUUAACACAUGCAAGUCGAACGGAAACAGGAUGAAGCCUAGCGAUUCCUGUUUUAGUGGCGGACGGGUGAGUAACGCGUGGGUAACCUGCCUUACACUGGGGGAUAACAGUUAGAAAUAGCUGCUAAUACCGCAUAAGCGCACAGGGCCGCAUGGCCUGGUGUGAAAAACUCCGGUGGUGGAAGAUGGACCCGCGUCUGAUUAGCUAGUUGGUGAGGUAGCGGCCCACCAAGGCGACGAUCAGUAGCCGGCCUGAGAGGGUGAACGGCCACAUUGGGACUGAGACACGGCCCAAACUCCUACGGGAGGCAGCAGUGGGGAAUAUUGCACAAUGGGGGAAACCCUGAUGCAGCGACGCCGCGUGAGUGAAGAAGUAUUUCGGUAUGUAAAGCUCUAUCAGCAAGGAAGAAAAUGACGGUACUUGACUAAGAAGCCCCGGCUAACUACGUGCCAGCCGCCGCCGUAA
Molecule: ribosomal RNA, 484 nt
Filed under: uncultured bacterium
Lineage: Bacteria
Description: partial 16S ribosomal RNA
Rfam family: Bacterial small subunit ribosomal RNA
Source: RNAcentral